Molecule: ribosomal RNA, 497 nt
Filed under: uncultured bacterium
Lineage: Bacteria
Description: partial 16S ribosomal RNA
Rfam family: Bacterial small subunit ribosomal RNA
Source: RNAcentral
GAUGAACGCUGGCGGCGUGCCUAAUACAUGCAAGUCGAGCGAACGGACGAGAAGCUUGCUUCUCUGAUGUUAGCGGCGGACGGGUGAGUAACACGUGGAUAACCUACCUAUAAGACUGGGAUAACUUCGGGAAACCGGAGCUAAUACCGGAUAAUAUUUUGAACCGCAUGGUUCAAAAGUGAAAGACGGUCUUGCUGUCACUUAUAGAUGGAUCCGCGCUGCAUUAGCUAGUUGGUAAGGUAACGGCUUACCAAGGCAACGAUGCAUAGCCGACCUGAGAGGGUGAUCGGCCACACUGGAACUGAGACACGGUCCAGACUCCUACGGGAGGCAGCAGUAGGGAAACUUCCGCAAAGGGCGAAAGCCUGACGGAGCAACGCCGCGUGAGUGAUGAAGGUCUUCGGAUCGUAAAACUCUGUUAUUAGGGAAGAACAUAUGUGUAAGUAACUGUGCACAUCUUGACGGUACCUAAUCAGAAAGCCACGGCUAACUACGUG